UAGCUCAUUCCAGGAGUCAGGUUGGACACGACGUAGCUGGUGGCUGUGGCUGGGAUCUCCACCUCCUCCUCCUGGCCGUCCCUGGAGACGUACAUCAGCCUGUAGACGCCGACCUUGGCCCGUGGUUUCUGCCACUUCAAGGUUCAUCUCGUCACCCAAUUAGUAUCAACCAACAUGUCCGUCUGUGUGUUAAUGAAGGAGGACUGUUUGGACAGCUGCUCGGCAGCGUCUCUCACCAGUUGCGGCAUUUGUAGUAGCAGGAAGGCUCUCUCUCUCAUUCUUCACGGCUGUCACACCAAUCCCAUACUCUGUCCCCGGCUUCAGCCCUGCCACACAGAGUCAUAAAGGGAAAAAUGACCACGUGAUAUGACCAACACAAGCCGUGUGUGGUCCUACUUCAUAUAUGUUCAAUCCUUACCAGUGAUAGUGGCUUUUGUGGUGUCUCCCGGUCCUCGUGGGAACAGUUCCUCACCAUGAGUCGCUCCAGAGAUGGGACUGUAUUUCACCAGAUAGUUGCCGACAUCAGCCUGACUGUUGGUCCACUCCAGAGUGAUGCUGUCGUCUGUCUGGGACACAGCCUGCAGGCCGGUGGGGGCGUCCAGCGCUAAUAAAGAUAUAAACAUUUAUAAUCA
This is a long non-coding RNA of Sebastes umbrosus (honeycomb rockfish), 632 nucleotides long. RefSeq lists it as uncharacterized. The record is from RefSeq and is a predicted model, not a curated record. The transcript has 2 exons. Lineage: Eukaryota; Metazoa; Chordata; Actinopteri; Perciformes; Sebastidae.